GACGAACGCUGGCGGCGUGCUUAACACAUGCAAGUCGAACGGAAAGGCCCUGCUUGCAGGGUACUCGAGUGGCGAACGGGUGAGUAACACGCGGGUGAACUGCCCUGCACUUCGGGAUAAGCCUGGGAAACUGGGUCUAAUACCGGAUAGGAGCCAUUUUGAGUGUGGUGGUUGGAAAGUUUUUUCGGUCUUGGGUGGGCCUGCGGGCUGUCUGCUUGUUUGUGGGGGAAUGGCCUACCAAGGGGGCGACGGGUAGCCAGCCUGGGGGGGUGGACGGCCACCUUGGGGCUUGGAUACGGCCCCGGCUCCUACGGGGGGGCAGCGGGGGGAAUUUUGCCACAUUGGGGCAAGCCUGGUGCAGCGACGCCGGGGGGGGGAAUACCGGCUUUGGGUUGUAAACCCGUUUUGGUAGGGACGAAGCUUUUUGUGACGGUACCUAGUUAAGAAGCACCGGCUAACUACGUG
This 465-nucleotide ribosomal RNA is filed under the name uncultured bacterium. RNAcentral describes it as "partial 16S ribosomal RNA". It matches the Rfam family "Bacterial small subunit ribosomal RNA", at positions 28 to 507 of the family's 1533-position model. The record is from RNAcentral.